AUUGCAGAACUAAAUACCAAAAGCAGGAGGUCUACCCAUAUCCAUACAUGAAUAACCCUCCCCGUUUUACGAUAACCCCAUAGUUAUUACAAAUUAUUACAGACUAUUACAGACCCGAAUGAAUAAAUAAAAGUAAAAUACAUCAGAAAACUAAACAGUCCCAGCCAAGGAGAUUAUGACUCAGACUUCUGUCUGAAGCAUGGAGUAAACCAAUUCCCAAGAUCAGAUUUCCAAAGCCUUUCUCUUAUUUGGGAUGUGUCAGAGUUCUCUAAGAUUCUCAAGCAGAUUUCGAGCAGUGCUUACACCUAAAUAUAUUGCAGAAUUGGAUUAUGGUGCAGUGUGGAAAGGCCAGCCCUCAAAUGUCCAAGUUCAGAGGGAAACUCAAGGUUCCCAAGGCAAGGCUCAUAGGAGUGGGGCAGAACUUAGGGUCUAAGAGUAAGUGCAAGUGCAGUAAAAGGAUAAGAGGCAAGAUGGUGGUCAUAACUAGCAAUUUGUGGUGUUGGCACACCCCUGACCAGCUUGUCAGUUCAAAUUGAGGAGUUAAGACCUAUUGAAGGUCAGGUUCAGCCAUAGACAACAAAUUGGGUGCUGCUAGGCUAUACCUUAACUCAGUAUACAUAGGGCAAUGGGGGUAUGGGGAGUUGAAAGAGACAAGAACAGGAUGUGGACACGUCAUGCAAUAGGGAAUGCUAACAUGCCUAAAAUCCUGUUAAACUAUUUAGAGGCUAGGAUCCAGAAGAUAUGUUUUAAUCCAUUGACAAUAACUUUAUUUUUCCAUGCUUAAGCCAUAGCUCAAACACAUAAAAGGGUAGGGAGUAGGGAUUAAUUGCAUUUGCAGGAAAGUAAAGAAAACAGUAGCAUAUGAACAUGUCAACCUCUGCAGGUAACAGAUAUUGAUAUAAAGAUUAUAAGUAAACACAUUAGGAUUAUGCUGGGAAUCGAAUUAAAACAUACCGGUUUAAAAAGAUAAACAAAUAGGAAGCAACAGUCUUGUGGAAGCCAAAGUGCCGACAAAGAAUACUUAAAAGAGAUUGUGAAAAUUGUAAGUAUGAAGUCUGAAGUGUAUUUAGCUCUCUGUUUGUGAAAACAGGGUCGGGUAUUUAUAGUUUGAAAAUAGGCAGAAGUAAGGGAAGAAUUAUGGUAAUUAUGGAACUAUGUAUCAAUUACAAUCAAUCAACAUAGGCACUUCCUUUAAUUAAUCAGUCUAAACUCAAACGGUAAUGGACAACAAGCAGUUAAGGAAAGAAAUCAAGUGAACAUCUUGUGUAAAGUAGGAAAUUAGGGGUAAAUACAUAGGGCUAUAACUAAGGAAAGAAUUUUUAAAAUACACGGUUAUCCCAAAUAAGGUAAGAACACAGCAAUCAAUUAGUACAUAGUAAAUCAAGGAAUCAAUGAUUUAAAACUGACCAAUGAACCAGGUCAGAAAUAAGGGAAAGAAAGGUUCACGUAGGGAAAAUCAGGAACAAUAAAAUAAACACCAUCAAAUUGAUUCAGAAUCAAUUAGUAUUUGGCAAGACCUCUUGAAAGAAGAAUUCUCUUAUAUAAGGUACACAAACAUGUGAGUCAAGAAAAGAAUGUCGAAUUAUGUAAGAGAGAGGAGUUCAGAAUCAUUAAGACUCAAAAGUCAUGAGCAAAGAGAUACAAGUUCAAUUUGCAGACUCACAAUGAGUCUGAGAGUACAGGGUCCUAAAGCAGAGCCUUAACUCGAAAGAAUCAAAAUCCUCAGAGGAAACACCCAAAUCUUAGGGUCUCAAAAUUGAAUACAACAUGGAAGCAAGCCAUUUGCUUCAAAGUCUCAACAAAACAGAUAUGAUAGCAUAUUGAAUGAAAAACGAAGAAGAAUCAUGAAGAACAUAUUUUGAGAAACUCGGAACCUAAACAAGUUUAGCAGAAGGAGAUAAUACAACGUGAACAUAAGUAGAUAAAGCAUGUAAGAAUAUGAACAAAGUCCAGUAAACAAAAAUGAAAUAACUCAACAGUAAACACACAUAAUAAAAGAGUAGAGAGAACAUAGCUAAGAUUAACAGGAGUAACAUGCAACAGAAGCAAAAUGCUUAGCAGAACCCUAAACAUGGCUCAAUUGAAGGCAGACAAAGAACCAUAAUGACUUAGCAAGAAAUGUAUAGUAAAAAAGACAAGAAUCGCCGAGAAAAGUAAAGCUGAAAGUAUAUUGGAAAAUAUAGUACGAUAAACAUACAAGCACAAGAUAAAAAUACAAUAUAAAAGUCUACAAGAACAUAUUAUAGAGAAACACAGUACAGUAAAGGACACACAAAGAAGAAAAAAACAUAAAACUCCUGAACAUUUUCUAGAAAACCCUAAAUCAGCAAGAAUGUUUAUUUGAAGGUAAUUUUCAAAGAAAGAUUUAGGGAAAUCAUUUGAAAACUUACGCAUAUCAUAGAUAUACAACAGAUCUAAAAAGAAUCGAAGAAAAACCUCGAAUAACUAGGGUUUCAGAGGAAUCCUACGGUGAGAAAGGCUUUGGAAAAGGUCCGAUCUAAGUCGGAUAUGGUUAGAAUAAUGCUUAGGAGGCUAGGAUAUGCCGGAGCAAAGCCUGGAUAUGGCUGAAAACCUUGAGUCAGCGAAGGUCUGGUCUCGAACCUUCAGGCAUCAUGCACACAGGAGUAAUAACAGGUGAGUUUAUGUCAUCUAUGGCCUGAGAAGCCAUGGAUUCUUGUGGGGUUGUGGUCAGAAAGGCGGUGGAGUUUAUCGGAGAAGACAGAACCAGAAGGUUCUAGAGAGAAGGGAGAGUGAUAGACAAUAUUGAGAGAGAGACAGUCG
This 2781-nucleotide long non-coding RNA is filed under the name Nicotiana benthamiana. RNAcentral describes it as "long non-coding RNA (NBEN_LNC019221)". Lineage: Eukaryota; Viridiplantae; Streptophyta; Magnoliopsida; Solanales; Solanaceae. The record is from RNAcentral.